RNAcentral lists this ribosomal RNA (524 nucleotides) under uncultured bacterium. RNAcentral describes it as "partial 16S ribosomal RNA". It matches the Rfam family "Bacterial small subunit ribosomal RNA", at positions 28 to 523 of the family's 1533-position model. The record is from RNAcentral.
GACGAACGCUGGCGGCGUGCCUAAUACAUGCAAGUCGAGCGCAGGAAAUCAUCUGAACCCUUCGGGGGGACGUUGAUGGAAUGAGCGGCGGACGGGUGAGUAACACGUAAAGAACCUGCCCUCAGGUCUGGGAUAACCACGAGAAAUCGGGGCUAAUACCGGAUGGGUCAUCGGACCGCAUGGUCCGAGGAUGAAAGGCGCUUCGGCGUCGCCUGGGGAUGGCUUUGCGGUGCAUUAGCUAGUUGGUGGGGUAAUGGCCCACCAAGGCGACGAUGCAUAGCCGACCGGAGAGGGUGAUCGGCCACACUGGGACUGAGACACGGCCCAGACUCCUACGGGAGGCAGCAGUAGGGAAUCUUCCACAAUGGACGAAAGUCUGAUGGAGCAACGCCGCGUGAACGAUGAAGGCCUUCGGGUCGUAAAGUUCUGUUGUAAGGGAAGAACAAGUGCCGCAGGCAAUGGCGGCACCUUGACGGUACCUUGCGAGAAAGCCACGGCUAACUACGUACCAGCCGCCGCAGUAA